GCGAAGCCUGACGGAGCACGCCGCGUGAGUGAUGAAGGUCUUCGGAUCGUAAAACUCUGUUAUUAGGGAAGAACAAAUGUGUAAGUAACUAUGCACGUCUUGACGGUACCUAAUCAGAAAGCCACGGCUAACUACGUGCCAGCAGCCGCGGUAAUACGUAGGUGGCAAGCGUUAUCCGGAAUUAUUGGGCGUAAAGCGCGCGUAGGCGGUUUUUUAAGUCUGAUGUGAAAGCCCACGGCUCAACCGUGGAGGGUCAUUGGAAACUGGAAAACUUGAGUGCAGAAGAGGAAAGUGGAAUUCCAUGUGUAGCGGUGAAAUGCGCAGAGAUAUGGAGGAACACCAGUGGCGAAGGCGACUUUCUGGUCUGUAACUGACGCUGAUGUGCGAAAGCGUGGGGAUCAAACAGGAUUAGAUACC
This 417-nucleotide ribosomal RNA is filed under the name Staphylococcus epidermidis. RNAcentral describes it as "bacterial SSU rRNA". It matches the Rfam family "Bacterial small subunit ribosomal RNA", at positions 375 to 786 of the family's 1533-position model. The record is from RNAcentral. Lineage: Bacteria; Bacillati; Bacillota; Bacilli; Caryophanales; Staphylococcaceae.